UGUCGUCCUGGGCGGGGUGUUCGCGCUGCUGCCGGGCCGGGGCGGGGAGGCCGGGCCGCCCGCGCUCGGGCCCGCCGGGCGGGCGGUGGCC
RNAcentral lists this transfer RNA (91 nucleotides) under Streptomyces aureoverticillatus. Its description in RNAcentral is "tRNA-Gly". Lineage: Bacteria; Bacillati; Actinomycetota; Actinomycetes; Kitasatosporales; Streptomycetaceae. The record is from RNAcentral.